GACAGAGGGUGCAAACGUUGUUCGGAAUUACUGGGCGUAAAGCGAGUGUAGGCGGUUUGGUAAGUCGGAUGUGAAAGCCCCGGGCUCAACCCGGGAAGUGCACUUGAUACUGCCAAGCUAGAGUAUCGGAGAGGUUGGUGGAAUUCUCGGUGUAGAGGUGAAAUUCGUAGAUAUCGAGAGGAACACCGGUGGCGAAGGCGGCCAACUGGACGAAUACUGACGCUGAGACUCGAAAGCGUGGGGAGCAAACAGG
Molecule: ribosomal RNA, 253 nt
Filed under: uncultured bacterium
Lineage: Bacteria
Description: partial 16S ribosomal RNA
Rfam family: Bacterial small subunit ribosomal RNA
Source: RNAcentral